GACGAACGCUGGCGGCGUGCUUAACACAUGCAAGUCUAACGGAAAGGCCCUGCUUUUGUGGGUUGCUCGAGUGGCGAACGGAUGAAUAACACGUGAGUAACCUGCCCUUUACUUUGGGAUAACUUCAGGAAACUGGUGCUAAUACCGGAUAUGAGCUCCUCCUGCAUGGUGGGGGUUGGAAAGUUUAGGCGGUUGGGGAUGUACUCGCGGCUUAUUAGCUUGUUGGUGGGGUAGUGACUUACCAAGGUUUUGACGGGUAGCCGGCCUGAGGGGGUGAGCGGCGACAGUGGGACUAAGGUGAGGCCGAGACUCCUACGGGAGGAAGCAGUGGGGAAUAAUGCACGAUGGGCGGAAGCAUGAUGCAGCAACGACGCGUGCGGGAUGACGGCCUUCGGGUUGUAGAACGCUUUCGCCUGUAACGAAGAGUGAGUGACGGUAAUGGGUAAAGAAGCAACGGCUAAAUACGUG
This 468-nucleotide ribosomal RNA is filed under the name uncultured bacterium. RNAcentral's name for it is "partial 16S ribosomal RNA". It matches the Rfam family "Bacterial small subunit ribosomal RNA", at positions 28 to 507 of the family's 1533-position model. The record is from RNAcentral.